AAGUCGUAACAAGGUAACCGUAGGUGAACCUGCGGUUGGAUCAUUACUGAUUCGUAAAACGCUUUGACCUUUUGGGGAUUGGCCCAUCGAGUUUACUCUGUAGCCAGUCUCGGAGAGGUGAUUGAAGCUUUUGUUGAUUAUAACCGUUCCCAAGGAAACUUGGGAGAUUCGGAAAUCCCUAUGGAUGGAGGUGUUACAGCCAACGUCUGAUAUAUUUUUCAACCCGGGGUGACACCCAGUACAAGCGUAAGUUUGUCAAACCUCCUGUUCCCUAGUCACCAAUGCGUUUCGUUUCUGAAAUGUGUUAAAAACUUAAUACAA
Molecule: unclassified non-coding RNA, 321 nt
Filed under: plant metagenome
Description: partial contains small subunit ribosomal RNA and internal transcribed spacer 1
Rfam family: Eukaryotic small subunit ribosomal RNA (bases 1-46)
Source: RNAcentral